Molecule: ribosomal RNA, 468 nt
Filed under: uncultured bacterium
Lineage: Bacteria
Description: partial 16S ribosomal RNA
Rfam family: Bacterial small subunit ribosomal RNA
Source: RNAcentral
GACGAACGCUGGCGGCGUGCUUAACACAUGCAAGUCGAACGGAAAGGCUCCAGCUUGCUGGAGUACUCGAGUGGCGAACGGGUGAGUAACACGUGGGUGAUCUGCCCUGCACUUCGGGAUAAGCCUGGGAAACUGGGUCUAAUACCGGAUAGGACCGCACUUUGGUGUGUGUGGUGGAAAGGUUUUUCUGGUGUGGGAUGAGCUCGCGGCCUAUCAGUUUGUUGGUGGGGUAAUGGCCUACCAAGACGGCGACGGGUAGCCGGCCUGAGAGGGUGGACGGUCACAUUGGGACUGAGGUACGGCCCAGACUCCUACGGGGGGCAGCAGUGGGGAAUAUUGCACAAUGGGGGAAACCCUGAUGCAGCGACGCCGCGUGGGGGAUGAAGGCCUUCGGGUUGUAAACUCCUUUCGCUAGGGACGAAGCUUUUUGUGACGGUACCUGGAGAAGAAGCACCGGCUAACUACGUG